GGCAGGGAUAGCAGCAGGGAGACAGGACCCAGGGAUGUACUCUCCUGCAGUUCCUCAUCUGCUGUAAGCUGAGACAUAAGGGUGAAGAGGGAGAGUUACAGAGAAGACGGGCCUCAUGAAAUGCACUGAGAAUUUCAGACUGCAGAGUUAAAUGGGGGAGCAUCCUUACCCUACAGAGUCUAGGGUGGACAUAACUUGGGUAAGCCUGGCCUGAAGUCAGUGUGGGCCCAGCUGCUCUAGUUUCAGUGUCGGGGGAUGAGGUGUUUGUUGGUGCAUCCCAGCUGAAAUGAAGGUGUGUGAAACUUACAGGCAGUUCUAUCUCGUAAGCUCCUGGAGAUACUGUUGGCUUUGUUGGGCAGCACCAUACAGUUUACUUUCCAGAUUCAAACUGAAACCUAGAAGAGACAAGAAAUGUAUUAAAUUCUGUUGCAAGGAAAUCAUGGCCAAGAUAUAA
RNAcentral lists this long non-coding RNA (454 nucleotides) under Phasianus colchicus (ring-necked pheasant). Its description in RNAcentral is "lncRNA (ENSPCLG00000008215.1)". Lineage: Eukaryota; Metazoa; Chordata; Aves; Galliformes; Phasianidae. The record is from RNAcentral.